This 460-nucleotide ribosomal RNA is filed under the name uncultured bacterium. RNAcentral describes it as "partial 16S ribosomal RNA". It matches the Rfam family "Bacterial small subunit ribosomal RNA", at positions 338 to 795 of the family's 1533-position model. The record is from RNAcentral.
CCUACGGGUGGCAGCAGUGAGGAAUAUUGGUCAAUGGACGGAAGUCUGACCCAGCCAUGCCGCGUGCAGGAAGACGGCUCUAUGAGUUGUAAACUGCUUUUGUACAAGGGUAAACCUGAAUACGUGUAUUCAGCUGAAAGUACUGUACGAAUAAGGAUCGGCUAACUCCGUGCCAGCAGCCGCGGUAAUACGGAGGAUCCAAGCGUUAUCCGGAUUGAUUGGGUUUAAAGGGUGCGUAGGCGGAUUGAUAAGUUAAAGGUGAAAGGUCCGAGCUUAACUCGGGAACUGCCUCUAAUACUGUUGAUCUAGAGAGUAGAUGCGGUAGGCGGAAUGUAUGGUGUAGCGGUGAAAUGCUUAGAGAUCAUACAGAACACCGAUUGCGAAGGCAGCUUACCAAUCUAUAUCUGACGUUGAGGCACGAAAGCGUGGGGAGCAAACAGGAUUAGAUACCCGGGUAGUC